RNAcentral lists this ribosomal RNA (478 nucleotides) under uncultured bacterium. Its description in RNAcentral is "partial 16S ribosomal RNA". It matches the Rfam family "Bacterial small subunit ribosomal RNA", at positions 28 to 507 of the family's 1533-position model. The record is from RNAcentral.
GAUGAACGCUGGCGGCGUGCUUAACACAUGCAAGUCGAACGGGAAUUCUGUUAUUGAAACUUAGGUCGAUUUAAUUUAAUUCUAGUGGCGGACGGGUGAGUAACGCCUGGGUAACCUUCAUUAUACAGGGGGAUAACAGUCAGAAAUGGCUGCUAAUACCGCACAAGCGCAUAGAGCUGCAUGGUACAGUAUGAAAAACUCCGGUGGUAUAAAAUGGACGCUCGUUGGAUUAGGUGGUUGGUGAGGUAACGGCCCACCAAGGCGACGAUGCAUAGCAGGCCUGGGAGGGUGAACGGCCAGAAUGCAACUGGGACAAAGCCAGGACUUCUACGGAAGGCAGCAAUGGGGAAUAAAGCACAAUGGGGGAAAACCUGAUGCAGCGACGCCGCGUGAAAGAAGAAGUAUAUGGGUAAGUAAACUUCUAUCAGCAAGGAAGGUAGUGACGGUACCUGACUAAGAAGCCCCGGCUAACUACGUG